CAGUCUUACCUGCGGGACAAUCAGCUUUUUGAGUGUGAUUAUGUGGAUUGUGAGGAGUUUAAUCACCCUCAUGUUUUGCAUAUUCGUGCUCUUGGGUGUACUUGCCCGUGUGGUAGGUUAACAUCAAUUUCGGACGUCAAUAAAAUGAUUGGAGGAAUGAGCUUUGAUCUCGUAUCGAAGUGUUAUAGUCCUUUGGUAGAUGUAAUGAUC
RNAcentral lists this ribosomal RNA (210 nucleotides) under Glomus sp. (unid). The record is from RNAcentral. Lineage: Eukaryota; Fungi; Glomeromycota; Glomeromycetes; Glomerales; Glomeraceae.